AGGGAUGUAGCUCAAUGGUAGAGCACUUGCCUACCACGCACAAAGCCCUGAGUUCAGUCCCCAGCACCACAA
This 72-nucleotide transfer RNA is filed under the name Ictidomys tridecemlineatus (thirteen-lined ground squirrel). RNAcentral describes it as "Spermophilus tridecemlineatus (thirteen-lined ground squirrel) tRNA". It matches the Rfam family "tRNA". Rfam says of the family: Transfer RNA (tRNA) molecules are approximately 80 nucleotides in length. Their secondary structure includes four short double-helical elements and three loops (D, anti-codon, and T loops). Lineage: Eukaryota; Metazoa; Chordata; Mammalia; Rodentia; Sciuridae. The record is from Rfam by way of RNAcentral.